Oncorhynchus keta (chum salmon) is the source of this 543-nucleotide long non-coding RNA. RefSeq lists it as uncharacterized. NCBI's taxonomy places the organism in Eukaryota, Metazoa, Chordata, Actinopteri, Salmoniformes, Salmonidae. The transcript has 3 exons. The record is from RefSeq and is a predicted model, not a curated record.
UGACUGUCAUGAGGUCUCUCUCUCUCUGCUUGACUGUCCCUACCAGCUGACUGUCAUGAGGUCUCUCUCUCUGCUUGACUGUCCCUACCAGCUGACUGUCAUGAGGUCUCUCUCUCUGCUUGACUGUCCCUACCAGCUGACUGUCAUGAGGUCUCUCUCUCUGCUUGACUGUCCCUACCAGCUGACUGUCAUGAGGUCUCUCUCUCUGCUUGACUGUCCCUACCAGCUGACUGUCAUGAGGUCUCUCUCUCUGCUUGACUGUCCCUACCAGCUGACUGUCAUGAGGUCUCUCUCUCUGCUUGACUGUCCCUACCAGCUGACUGUCAUGAGGUCUCUCUCUCUGCUUGACUGUCCCUACCAGCUGACUGUCAUGAGGUCUCUCUCUCUGCUUGACUGUCCCUACCAGCUGACUGUCGCGGCAGUUCUAGAGCGGCGUGUCACUCGGGCCCUCCAAUAGCGGCAGCUCUAGAGCGGCGUGUCACUCAGGCCCUCCAAUAGCGGCAGCUCUAGAGCGGUGUGUCACUCGGGCCCUCCAAUAGCGGC